CGUAAACAAUACUUUUAAUUGUAACAUUCAACAAAUUUAGUCUAUCCUAGAUUUGAUAUUUUAUUUGUAACAUUCAGAUAGGCCAGAUAAGUUAGUAAUUCCUUAAUACACAUGUAGGGUGCAAAAAUCAAUAGUAUGUAUCACAAUGUCUGCCGUAUUCUCUGCUUCUCAUGUAAAACGUAUUUCAAUUUUCUACGCUUUUAUGAUAUUUAUGGUAUUUCAUUAAAUUUAUUAAUUUAAUGAUUAUUUGAAAGAACGCGUUCAAAUUUGAAACCAAACCUAAAUGUAAUAAGUUAAACUGUGAGACAUUGUAAAAUCGACAUAUUUAAGUGGUGCUCUUGAAAAGGGAAUUGUUAAACGAUGGAUAAUCAAGGAUUAGGAUAUUCCUAUCAUUUACCAUCUGCUGGAUGGAAUCUUAAAAUUAGAAAUGCAUUAUCUCAAUUUAGUGAUCUUUUUAGCGAAUUUAACAAAUACAUUGCACCAGCAUAUCAUCAUGAUCGUUGCGAAAGAUCUGUGCAAAUGCGCUUAUAUUCUAUGCACAAAAGAGAAUUUGUCAUGGUAUUCAUUGGCUUUUUUGCCUGUUUUGGAUUGUCCGUGUUCAUUGGGCUUACUGGUCCGCCAAUAACUUCAACAAGUGAACAAAAAGCACAUCUCAAUGGAAGCGAAAUGGCAACUGGACCAUUUAGAAUGAAGACGCCAGCUUUAUCGCCUUAUAGUCAACAAUUAUGGGUCAUUGCUAAAUUAUCUACGUUAAAUAAUGACGAUGAAAGAUACGAUAAAAGUUUUCAAGUAAGCGUUUCAAUAGAAGGCAUUAGUAUUGAUCAUAAGCGUAUUCCUAUAUUGGAAGCUGGACAUACAAGAACAAGACAUUUGAAAUGUGAGAGACAAUCUUGCGAGGAGCUUGUUGUGGCUCAUCUUGGAUUUUUAGAUUACACCUACUAUAUAAUAACUGUGCAUUUUCAUGGACUUGAAAGCUUUCAUCAACGAUAUACAAUACGAGAUCUCACAUUCUACUUUAAAAAUUACAAUCCUGCGUUCACACAAAUUGAGAUAUGGUUUCGACUGAUCUUCUUGUUGACUACUUUUGGAGUAAUGUGUUGGUUCGGUCACUCGCUAAGAAAAUAUUCAUUACAUGAUUGGUCAAUAGAGCAAAAAUGGAUUUCUAUUCUUCUUCCAUUAUUAAUUUUAUAUAAUAAUCCUUUAUUUCCUAUGACAUUUUUAAUAAACUCUUGGGUACCUGGAAUGCUCGAUGCAAUACUACAAACAACUUUUUUAUGUGCUAUUCUCAUGUUCUGGCUUUGCGUUUAUCAUGGUCUUAGACAGAAUGAAAGGAGAUUGAUCACUUUUUAUUUGCCAAAAAUGUUGGUUGUUGGUCUUCUAUGGGCGGCAGCUCUAACAUUAGCAACAUGGCUUCGUUGUACCGAAUUAGAAGAUCCAACAUAUAAUUAUGUUCUUGAUACAUCAAAUUAUUAUGGUUUCAAAGUAUUCUUCUUUACAGUUGGUGGUUUUUACAUUGCAUAUCUUCUUCUACUUAUACUUAAGGCAUAUAGCGAACUAAGAUCUAUGCCAUAUUUUGAUUUACGAUUAAGAUUUUUAACAUUACUUGCUGGAGUAGUUGCUGGUGUUUGCAGCUUAGUUACUUCUCGUCAAUUUGGUGCAGGUGUUCUCGAAGAUAGUUUUGCCUCGCGUCUUUCUACAUAUUAUAGCACAUCGGCACAAUUUAUGGCUUUGUAUGGCCUUCUCAAUUUUUAUUUGUAUACAAUGGCAUACGUUUAUGCUCCAGCAUUACAACAAGUCUAUGGACAACAUUCAUCCAUAAUGAAAGAUAAUCCUGCUUUUUCGAUGAUAAAUGAUUCGGAUGAAGAAGUGAUAUAUGGAUCGGAUGAAGACAACAGACGACUGUUAACACGUUUAUCAAAAAAUGGAGUAGACAGUGAUUGAAUAAACACUAUCAAUAGAAUAAAACAAUUAUAUAAAAAUAAUUGUAUCUAAUGAAGUGAAAUGUUGAUUGGCAGGCAAUUUUUGUAAAUUUUACAAAAAUACUGCCUUUUAGGUAUGGAAAAGACUGUACAUAUGCCUUCUUGGAUUUUGGUAUUAAUCUAUAUAUUAUAAUACAAGAAAAGAAAAGAAUCAAUAAUCUAUUCGCGUUAAUCUGUUAUUAUUCUCUAGCAGCAUUCACGAAUAAAUAAUGAACGAGAUAAAAACAAUAUAGAAAUGAUUAGCAAAAGAAACAGAAAAUACUUCAACUUCGUGGAUGCCUAUAUGAUUGUGUAUUGCAUUAGAUCAUUUAUAUGAGUUAUCAAUAAUUUAUAUUGUUAAAAUAAGUUAUCAAAUAUUAGUACAAAUUAAUAUAUGUUUUAUGCUC
Molecule: unclassified non-coding RNA, 2365 nt
Filed under: Polistes dominula (European paper wasp)
Lineage: Eukaryota; Metazoa; Arthropoda; Insecta; Hymenoptera; Vespidae
Description: transmembrane protein 181, transcript variant X1
Source: RNAcentral